UGGGUUUCUCAGUCUUUGGGCUAAAAUCAAAUGUAGUACUUGUACUUAUCGGUUUAAUAUCUGAGAGGUCCUCUAUAUGAGAACAACAUAUUAAAUGGGUUUUUAGAACCAGAAGACAGAAUGGGAGCUUGCUCUGUCUACUCUGUGGAUCCACUCUAUGGAUCAGCCCUGU
This 172-nucleotide small nuclear RNA is filed under the name Chinchilla lanigera (long-tailed chinchilla). Its description in RNAcentral is "U2 spliceosomal RNA (ENSCLAG00000020460.1)". It matches the Rfam family "U2 spliceosomal RNA". Rfam says of the family: U2 is a small nuclear RNA (snRNA) component of the spliceosome (involved in pre-mRNA splicing). The record is from Rfam by way of RNAcentral. Lineage: Eukaryota; Metazoa; Chordata; Mammalia; Rodentia; Chinchillidae.